GCCGCGUGGAGGAUGACGCAUUUCGGUGUGUAAACUCCUUUUAUAUGGGAAGAUAAUGACGGUACCAUAUGAAUAAGCACCGGCUAACCCCGUGCCAGCAGCCGCGGUAAUAAUCACUAGUGAAUUC
Molecule: ribosomal RNA, 127 nt
Filed under: uncultured Campylobacterota bacterium
Lineage: Bacteria; Pseudomonadati; Campylobacterota
Description: uncultured Epsilonproteobacteria bacterium partial 16S ribosomal RNA
Rfam family: Bacterial small subunit ribosomal RNA
Source: RNAcentral